UGUUCUAGUAGUGAAUUUUUGUGAAGCUUUAAGUCUGCGCAUUGCUGAAGAAACACGGCCGUGUUUGCCGGGUCAUCCUAUGAACUCAAAUUUAAUUAAUGACAUUCAUUGGACAUUUGUUAG
Etheostoma spectabile (orangethroat darter) is the source of this 123-nucleotide long non-coding RNA. RefSeq lists it as uncharacterized. Lineage: Eukaryota; Metazoa; Chordata; Actinopteri; Perciformes; Percidae. The transcript has 3 exons. The record is from RefSeq and is a predicted model, not a curated record.